Molecule: transfer RNA, 62 nt
Filed under: human oral metagenome
Rfam family: tRNA
About the family: Transfer RNA (tRNA) molecules are approximately 80 nucleotides in length. Their secondary structure includes four short double-helical elements and three loops (D, anti-codon, and T loops).
Source: RNAcentral
GAGUGGCGCAGCGGUAGCGCAGUUGACUGUUAAUCAAUGGGUCGCCGGUUCGAAUCCGGCCU